AUCACUCACACAAACCACUCUGCUGGAGGUUACUGCCCUCCCAGUUCUGCUGGCAAAAGGGACUUUGAUCCUAUCCAUAGCAAGUACUAAGACAAGGAAGAGGCAGAAAAAGACUGAAGAGAAACAUGCCGUUGUCAUUGCAAGAUUUGUUCAGCUUUUCUACUAGAAAGUACAGCUGAAUGAUGUGUAUCCAGUUACAUGAUAAGUUCAUCUCCACACACACAAAGGAGCGCGGUGGAAAAAUGGCAUGUGGGGAAAGCCAAAUAAUACCCUCACCCAGCUGUUCCCAGGCCUAUCAUGGGAGAGUGAUAAACCCAUAAAAAAGGUUAUCUUCACAAACAUGAAAGAGCAAGGAGGAACAAUAACUUGCAGAGGAAACCUCUCAAACAAGCUGGAGAAAUGCACAUCCUGCACUUGCCCUCCCUUGGCCACCUCAGGGGACUGUCAGUUCCAGUGUUAAGCUGUGACACCCAUCAGAUGAGUCAAGGGGAGCAAAUCUAUGAUUUGCA
This is a long non-coding RNA of Oxyura jamaicensis (ruddy duck), 509 nucleotides long. RefSeq lists it as uncharacterized. The transcript is spliced from 3 exons. The record is from RefSeq and is a predicted model, not a curated record. NCBI's taxonomy places the organism in Eukaryota, Metazoa, Chordata, Aves, Anseriformes, Anatidae.